RNAcentral lists this long non-coding RNA (747 nucleotides) under Homo sapiens (human). RNAcentral's name for it is "non-protein coding lnc-SORCS3-11:1". The record is from RNAcentral. Lineage: Eukaryota; Metazoa; Chordata; Mammalia; Primates; Hominidae.
GUCCAAAUAUGAGGAGAGUAGGGUUGAUAUAAGGAGAAAGGCUUUUUAAGUAAGUGCGGAGGAGGGCGGCAGCUUGCUGAUGUGAAAUGUCUGGAGAGGUCUUGCUGGACCUGUCUAGAAAGUAAAUGAGUUCUUCAGGAGGGUAAAAUGAGGGCUGUUAAAGGAAGUUUGGAGAUGUAGGGAGACAGGAGAUGUUGCCUAGUCUGCAUGUAAGGUGGGGACAGCUGUGUAGGCACUGGAAGAAAGGGAAAUGCAAAGCCAGCAGUUUGCUAAGAAGGGAUUAGAAACGGCUAGGAGAGAUUGAGUAAAGUUGACAGUGUGGUGGAGAUAGCUGGGGAGAGGUAGAGGGUGGAACUAGUAUCAAUAAACCAAGUGUGCUCAGGGUGAGGAACAGGAAAGAAGGAAAUAUGGGGAAAUGGGGUGAAUGCCCGAUUGAAGUCUGGGCCAGAAACAAUGAUAAUUGUGGGAGACUCAACAAAGAGUGAGUACAGCUGAAGGAGCUGGGGAGCAGAAAGUAUAUGUGUCAGGUGUGAGGAAGAAAAUAGAUUUUGGAAGUUAUGAGAACUGUAGAGAGUGAGUUGAGCAGUUUGUGAUUUUUAGGGCCUUUAAAAGUAUUAAGGCAGCGGCAGCUGCUGCAGGCAGACAUGAGGGCUAGGCUAAAAGAGUAAGGUCCAGUAGUUUGGACAGAAAGGCUACAGGAUGCAGUCCCGGCUCUUGUGUAAGAAUUCUGACCGCACUAACCAUGCC